Chelonoidis abingdonii (Abingdon island giant tortoise) is the source of this 118-nucleotide ribosomal RNA. The record is from Ensembl. Lineage: Eukaryota; Metazoa; Chordata; Testudines; Testudinidae.
UCCUGCAGCCCAUGUACCUUAUGCUGGGAUUGUGGGAGAUCUCGAAAGCAAAGCAGCACUUCGUCUGGAUAGUACUUGGAUGGGAGACCUGCAAAGACGAUCUGAGGUGCUGCAGGAA